GAAAAAAAGAGAGGAGCUUGAAGAGGCAAUGAAAAUAAUUCGAACCUUUGUUGUUGGGAUGGAUACAAUCUACGAAGACAAGGACGACUUAGAAAUACUUGCUGUAGCUGUAAACAAAUCAGAGGAAAUGGUGUAUUCUGCCAAAAAAAAUGAUCAACUGCAAAAGGAAAUUGAUAUCCUUCUUGAAAACUUGGACAAUGGUUGGC
Non-coding RNA from Zootoca vivipara (common lizard), 206 nucleotides. Lineage: Eukaryota; Metazoa; Chordata; Lepidosauria; Squamata; Lacertidae. The record is from RefSeq and is a predicted model, not a curated record.